CAAAACCUUAUCCAACCUUAUCUUAUCUUAUCCUAUCCUAAUCCUAUCCUAAUUUAAUUCCAGCUACAUGGGGGAUUUAUUUUCAGAUUAGGACACAUUAAAAUUGGUUUCUAGAAGCCCUUAUCCACUCCUACAAAGGUGCUACACCUUAUCCCUUGUUUUUCUAGAAAUCAGCCACAAAACAACCUUUCUAGAAAACCUUAUCCCUUGUCCUACAAAAGUGACGCCCCAAAACCUUUCUAGAACUUCUAGAAACCUGAUUAUUCCUUUCCCCCUUGGUUUCUAAAAGCCUUAGCCUUUUCCUUCAAGGAUUGUGUGUUAUUAUCCUAUACAAAUUAGGCCUUUAAAUCCUUUUCCUUUGCUACAUAGGGGCUGCGAAUUUCAGCCUAUAAAUACCAUCCUCUACCAUAAUUUACUACACCAUUCACCCAAAAACCCCUCUUGUGCCGUGAGUUUUGCAAGGAGAAGAAGGAAGAAAUCUGGAGCCGUGCUUGCCAUUCAAGAAGCUUGGAUUGUUAGAGCGUUUCUAGGUGUUUUCUAUCUUUGUUUUAAUGUUUAAAUUUAUUUAUCUUUGUUUAUUUGCGAACAUGAGGAACUAAUUUCUUUAUAGUUAGAGGGGAAUUCAAAGCCAUGAUCAUAUGUUUUAUAUGACUUGAUUUCCUCCAGUUAUGAUUUUAUAAAUCGUGAAUGUGGUUUACUUAUCUAUUUGAUUGAUAACUUGUUCUUGUGUGUUGAUUAAGGAUGCAUACUUAGUUUGCAUGCAUGAAUUUGAUGCUAGAAUAUAAGAGAAUUUCACCUAAUCGUUAUUAACUUAUAUUCAUAAGUAGUAAAAGUCGCUAGUCACGAUUGUGUUAAGUAAAUCCUUGGCAAGAGUAACAUGCGUAUUUGAUAGGAGCAUAUUUAUGCGCCUUAGUUAGCUAGUUCUGAUGCAUCUUUGUUAUGUUUUCUUCGUUAAAGUAGUCUUCUAAGCUACUUUCAUGUGUUUUCAGGUUUAAAGGACAUAUUACAUGAAAUGAUGCAAUUUGGAGCUUUUGGAGCAAAAAGUGAGCUUGGAAUGAAAAGGACAUGCUUGGAACACAAGGUUGGGAUGAAAUUGAAGAGUUCGAGAUUUGAGGUUUCCUACUUGAAGUAGGAAAGCUAAGCCUAAAAGUUUCCAUUUUGGGUUGAUCUUUCCUAAAUCGGAAUUGGCAACCAAAGUUUCUAAAGUUGGAAGUUUCUAUUCUUGGAGGUUUCCAUUUUCGUGAGUUUUUAUUCUCGGCUUUGGGCUUUUAGAUGACUUAAACCCUAAUUCCUUGUGAACCCUAAGUCCAUGCCGCAUCCUAGGGCCUAAUCAUUCAAUUUCUGCCAUGUUAAACCCUAAUCCAUUUCUCCUAAGCCCAUGCCGCACCUAAUGUUCUAGAAACCCAAUUUUCUGGUGGAUUUCCAACCCUAGCCGCACCUAACCCUAGCCCAUUGUCUAAUCUGAUUUCUUUAGGGUUUAGGUGCCUAUAUAUAUGUGUUUUACAUCCUUUGGCCGAUCAUCUCCCUCUCCAUAAUUCAGAAAUCAUCCAACCCUUAUUUCCCCACCUUGCCGCAGCCACCUUCAUCCAUUCCAGCCACUUCCCAUCCUUGCCGCAGCCUUCAUCCACCUCUAGCCACCAUCCUACACCUCCAUACACCAUCCCCACUCCUUGCCGCACCACCAUACCAUCCUAAUUCCCUUCUAAACCCAAAAACACCCUAAACCCUCUCUGCCGCAGCAAGGAGAAGAAGAAAGAGGAGCUUGAAGUCAGAAAUUCAA
Molecule: long non-coding RNA, 1780 nt
Filed under: Malus domestica (apple)
Lineage: Eukaryota; Viridiplantae; Streptophyta; Magnoliopsida; Rosales; Rosaceae
Description: long non-coding RNA (MDOM_LNC019962)
Source: RNAcentral